This 285-nucleotide ribosomal RNA is filed under the name Rhodospirillaceae bacterium. RNAcentral describes it as "partial 16S ribosomal RNA". It matches the Rfam family "Bacterial small subunit ribosomal RNA", at positions 1 to 296 of the family's 1533-position model. The record is from RNAcentral. Lineage: Bacteria; Pseudomonadati; Pseudomonadota; Alphaproteobacteria; Rhodospirillales; Rhodospirillaceae.
CAACUUAAGAGUUUGAUCCUGGCUCAGAACGAACGCUGGCGGCAGGCCUAACACAUGCAAGUCGAACGAAGGNNCGNANCUUCGGNUCCGGUAGCCUUAGUGGCGGACGGGUGAGUAACACGUGGGAAUUUGCCCAAGAGUGGGGAAUAACGUUUGGAAACGAACGCUAAUACCGCAUACACCCCUAGGGGGAAAGGCUUCGGCCGCUCUUGGAUAAGCCCGCGUCAGAUUAGCUUGUUGGUGAGGUAAUGGCUCACCAAGGCUACGAUCUGUAGCUGGUCUGAG